Molecule: RNA transcript, 2242 nt
Organism: Cucurbita maxima (winter squash)
Lineage: Eukaryota; Viridiplantae; Streptophyta; Magnoliopsida; Cucurbitales; Cucurbitaceae
Gene name: prolyl-tRNA synthetase associated domain-containing protein 1
Exons: 13
Source: RefSeq, a predicted model, not a curated record
UUGAUCGAUUUGGACCCGUAGAUCCAACAGUGCAAGGUGAAGCCCAAAUCAGCGAUGGGGUCAUGGAUUCGUACUAGUUUGAUUUUUCACUACAGCCGGCGUUCCAUCUUGGUUAAGACCUUCGUCCUAAAGUUCUUCUCUAUCCGGCGGACUUCUUUGCGCUGAAUUCGAGUUUUCUGCUUCAGUAUGGCUAAGGAGGUUUACACCAGGGAAGAGUUGCUUGCGCUGUUGCAGGAUCUUCAAAUUGAUUUUUCCAAGUACGAACAUCCGGCUGUAUUGACAGUUGAAGCUCAGGCAAAAUAUGUUGGAAAUUUGGGGGGUGGUAUCAGUAAGAAUCUGUUUUUGAAGGACAAAAAGAAUAGAUACUAUGUAGUUUCAGCAUUGUCACAGACCAAAGUGGACCUGAAAGUUCUAUCUGCAAGACUUGGUUUGGGGAAAGGAGGUCUGAGAAUGGCUCCCGAGGAAGCAUUGGGAGAGAAACUUAAGGUGUCGUUGGGUUGCGUUACUCCAUUUGCACUCAUCAAUAAAACAGCACGAGAUGUUGCUUUAUUGUUAGACCAAGGAUUUAAAAGCCAGGAAUUCUGCUUCUUCCACCCUCUGUCAAAUGAAACAUCAAUAUCUCUUAACACCACCAAUCUCGACAAGUUCCUUAAAUCAAUCGGGAGAGACCCUUCAUACAUUGACUUGGAGGCUAAUCCUUCUGUAGGAAAGGAUCAACCCCCCGAUCUUGCUGGACUUGUUCCUUCUGGUUCUGCCUUUGUGCCCGAUACUCCAGAGAAAACAUCUUCAUGUCCUGGUUCUAAUGAAAAUCAAGGUGUUGCGGACAAGAAGUCUAAGGCAGCUGCAGUGAAGCCAUCUUCUGCUGUGAAAGCUGGAAAGGACAAAGCCGUACCAAAAGCACGACCAUCCUAUGCAAAUGUGGAGAAAUUUGUCGAAGAGAUUCUUGAAAAGACAUCGACAAUAGUGCUUUCAGAGCUCACAGAGGAGACUGUUAAAAAACAUGGAGAACAGUUGGGAGAUGUGGUGUCAAACAACAUUAAGAAACAUCUUAGCUCGGAGUUGAACAAUCUUUCUAUGAUAUUUAAAAACAAUGCAUACACAGAAGGGUUCCAUGCUGGAUCUUCCCAUAAAGUGAAGCAUACGUGCUGAUAUUUUUGUCUGCUUGUGUUUCCAAUUGAAACUGAAGAAGAGAACUCUGACAAAAGGCCGGAUAAUGACCACCAGCUCAGUAUUGCUGAUGGGUCGCACGGUUCAGGUAAUUUAUUUAAUUUUAAUGAUCAGGGUGAAUUAUGAAUUUUGGUUUCAUAUCAGCACUUGACGACCUUCUUGAAGGAGGUAUACAAACACGUUUGUGCCCCUGAAAUUUGCGCCAACCUUUAAUCUACCAAUAAGGUAUAGACUAAGUACCUUGUAUCAUUUAGGCUAGUUUAGUUUAUCACUAUUCGUGCAUUUACAUGUUUUUCUUCAAUGCUUAUUCUUGAAUCUUUAUUGCAUAAGAUGGUAUAAAAUAGGAUAGAAAUUACAUCCUGCCCACGUAAUGGAACAUGGAUAAUGUUUUAGUUUUGAACAUGGAACAUGCUUUUUUGAGCAAACACAAUCAGGUGUGAGAUAUGGUAUGUUGGAGAAUGUGAAUCUUUUAGGACAAUCUCAAUCCUGCAGAUUAAAGAGUUCAAGUAAAAUACGAGUUAUUUGCAGCAUUACCCUUGACAUUAGAACGGCUAAGGAAGAGAGGUAGAAUGAAAUAGAAUAUCUCGAAUCAGAAUCUGUGAUUGAAAAAAUAUAUUAUUUCUUUUACCAGAAAUAUGUUUACUUUUUCAAAAUAACUUCUUAUGUUUUUAUUUCCAGUUUGGAAAAUUUGAUUAAAUUUUUAUUUUCUAUUUAUUUCUAAUACUACCUUAUCAAAUAUAGAGUGGAGGUAUAUGAACCUAUAAUUUCUUUAGAAGUAGGGAUGCCUUGAUCACCAAGUUUACUAUGUGCCUUACUUUUCUUUUUUGUCAUAUGGAGUAGCUUUCUUUCGUUUUUUUUUUCCUAUUUCUAGAAAGUAUUAUCAAUUAUUUUCUUUUCCCGAAGUUUUAGAAUAAUGGUAAAUAGGGAAAUGAUGCUGAGAUAUUUGCUUAGUUUUGAACAUGAUUUUGCAGCCCAUUAGACAGAUAAUGACUGUUAAGAAUACACCAUCAUUGGGGAGACCCUUAAUUAUUGUAUUGCAUCUUUAGUGUAUGCUCAUACAAGCUUUUAUUUAAUU